CAGUAGCCGCGGUAAUACGUAGGGUGCGAGCGUUAAUCGGAAUUACUGGGCGUAAAGCGUGCGCAGGCGGUUGUGUAAGACAGGUGUGAAAUCCCCGGGCUUAACCUGGGAACUGCGCUUGUGACCGCACAGCUAGAGUAUGGCAGAGGGGGGUGGAAUUCCACGUGUAGCAGUGAAAUGCGUAGAGAUGUGGAGGAACACCGAUGGCGAAGGCAGCCCCCUGGGCCAAUACUGACGCUCAUGCACGAAAGCGUGGGGAGCAAACAGGAUUAGAGACCCCUGUAGUCCCUGUCUCUUAUAC
RNAcentral lists this ribosomal RNA (301 nucleotides) under uncultured bacterium. RNAcentral's name for it is "partial 16S ribosomal RNA". It matches the Rfam family "Bacterial small subunit ribosomal RNA", at positions 509 to 807 of the family's 1533-position model. The record is from RNAcentral.